GGUUUCUUUCCACAAAAUUUAGAGGCUAUGACCUUGACUCAGCAGCAGGUGGCACCAUACUGUACCUUUAUGUUUCCUACUGGCACCACAGUGGGCUACAUCACUCAAUCACAUCCACAAAUACGUGUGUGUGUGUGUGUGUGUGCGGGAGAGAGUGAGUGAGAGAAUGUUCAUGGGCUGUAGAUGGGUGGAUCUCAGCUAGAGACUUGGAAACAAACAGUUUUGUGAUUUUCCAUGGGUACAGCUAAACAGAAACACCGGCCACCCCCGUUGUGGUGAGUUGCCAAUGCCUACAGUCAACUAUAACGAUGUCAUUAGCCAGGUGCAAUAAAAUACCUCCUCCCAAACUGUUGGCUUCUCACAAACCAUCACCACUGAAGCUGAGAGGGUUUAUCUCAUAAUAACCGUUUGACCACAGAAAGAGAAUGUAUGUUCGUAGUGGUGUGCUGCAAAUGGUUGUGAUGGCCAUUUUCUUGCUGGCUCAACAUGGGACUGUGAUCGGAACCAACUGCACCAAUUCCACGUGCAGCAGCACCAAUUCCACGUGCAGCAGCACCAACUCCUCUCCCCCACCCUCCUCUCUGUGGGGGUUUGGCCUCAUGCUCCUGGCUCUGUCCCCCACUCUCCUGCAGCAGAUAGCUACUCUCUGAUGGCAGCAAGGCAGCUGUAUUCACCAUGUACUUCCUCAAUCUGGGAUGUCCAACUAUUCUUUAACUACAUAUAUUCUCACCCUAAGGAAGACCACGAUGACCUGUACUCAUUGGACACUUUAUAAAAACCUUUUGUUAUCUACUAAAAUAUAGCACACAUGUUAAAACAACUAUGUUUCUGAAUAAAUGCAURGUGAUAAACUGAA
Salvelinus sp. IW2-2015 is the source of this 856-nucleotide long non-coding RNA. RefSeq lists it as uncharacterized. Lineage: Eukaryota; Metazoa; Chordata; Actinopteri; Salmoniformes; Salmonidae. The record is from RefSeq and is a predicted model, not a curated record.